AAUAUUAUACUCUCGGCGACGAGACUGUUGAUUCCAGCUCUCUCUAAUUGUCAAACUAUUUGAAUAAUUCUUUUAUCUCUUUAAUUGGAAAUGGAAACUAGCCUGAAGAUAAACUCCUGAAGAAGUAAACAACUUUUUUUCUUUUCAUUAUAGAAAGUUAAAUGGACAGAAUUUUCUCAAUUUUUCUCUAAAAAAAAACUCUACCUACUAAGUAUUUUGGCAUUAAAAGAAUAAUAAGUCAGCAAAAGCGUUUUGCAUCAAUUUAACAGGAAGAGAAACUAACCAAACUAACUAAAUAAAUUAAAUUCUUAUGUAUAUAUACAUUUAAAUGUAUAUGUGUAUAUGUAUACAUAUAUAUAUAUAUAUAUAUACUUGUUAUCAUCUCAAAUAAAGCUCUUCCUUAUUUGGUAAACGAGGAAGAAACGAGAAAAGUUUAAGAGGAAUAACAAAAAAAGAAAGAAAGAUAGCCUCUUUAGUAAUCAAUUGGGAGAAAAGAAGAAGACGUCAUCUCCAUUAAUUAUCAAUAAAAAAUAUUUUUUGUGCUUUUUUUUUUUAAAAAGAAAAAAAAGUUGAAAAAUUGUUUUUAUUAAGAUAAAUAAAAACAGAGAAAGAUAGAAGGAAAAGGAAAUUAAAAAAUUACAAGAAAAUACUAAUAAUACUGAUAACUUUUGAGGAUUUUUGAUUUACAUUUUUUUCAAAAGUUUUGUUUUUAUAUAAAUUUUGAAGAAGCAUCUGUAAAAGAAACGAGGAUUAAAACUAUUUCUUUAUUUAGAAAGGGAUUAAAAUAAUGUAAACAUUUUACCGGAGCGGAGAGAAACAGUUACAGAUAAUAACGAAAAAUGUUAAAUAAUUCGAAUGUUACUGCUCCUCCUUCUGAGAAAGUUGAAGAUCAGGAACUCGAAUGCAGUCGCGUAUUAUUUAUAAUCUAUGUUGGAAUAUUUGGGCCUAUAGUAAUAUUUGGUAUUAUAGGGAAUACCCUAUCCUUUAUGGUUCUGUCGUGGGAAAAGCAUAAUCGAGUUGCAACUUUUCUACUCCAAUGCCUAGCCUUGACAGAUUCCUUAUUUCUCUUCAUUUCCGGUAUAUGCCAAAUCUUUCCAGCCAUGACCAUAUAUUUACAGGCACUAUCCAUUAAGAAUAUGAUUCAACCCUACAUACAAGUUAUAUUUUGGCCUUUUGUUCACAUAACGCAAUUCUUAACUGUUUGGAUGACGGUUCUGGUCGCCUUUAAUAGAUACAUAGCAAUCUGUCGACCUUUUCGAGCCAAUCAGUUGUGUACAAAGAGGAAAGUACGGUUGCAAGUUGGUCUAUUGGUAUUAUUUAGUGUCGUCUACUGCAUACCAAGAUUCUUUGAAGUAAAACUGGAAUCUUUACCAAAUUCCACUUAUAUGGAAUCAAAACAGCGGGAUUUUGUUCAGAACAAAGUCUACAAAUAUACCUACGAAGUGGUUGUUUACUUACUAGUGGUUUUACUAAUACCAUUAAUCCUGCUCAUCUUCUUAAAUACCCACCUAAUAAGGGAACUUAUUGCGGCUCGUAAUCGAAGACUAAAACGGUCAAUUGGAGGAGAAGACGAUGACGAAGAGCAAAAUUUAACCCUAGUUAUGGUUGUCAUCGUGCUUGUCUUUAUCUUCUGUCAAACCCCAGCUUUUCUCAAUCAAUUACUAUUUGUAAUUAUCGGUCAUACACAAUACUAUUGCGUGUCAGCCUACUUUAUUUUCUUUCAAUGCUCUAACUUAAUAGUUUGCGCUAAUAGCGCAGCUAAUUUUGUCAUCUAUUACGCUUUUCGUAAGCAGUUCAGAGGCAGAUUGGCUGCUUUCUGCGGACGGAAAAGACUGUCCGAUUCCGCAUAUCAUCAAGUGGCUCUAGUGGAGAGAAAUGGUACGAGAAUAUCAGACAAUGGAGUUGAACGCCUCCACGAUCAUACAUGAGACUAAAUCAACCAUAAAACAUCGUUGAAACUUUAGAGGAAAGAGAAUAAUAAACUAAACGUUGACAAGAGAAAACAACCUGCAUCUUCCUCCGAUCUUUAAUCUCCCUAACCCUGUAACAUUUUUACAAAAAAAAAAGAAAUACUCUCUCUUAUCAUUUUUCACUUAACGUAUUCAAUUACAUUUGGCUUAAUCUAGAGAUCUAUCUAAUUUGCUUAUAUUAAUAUUAAUUAAAUUUUUGAAUAUUUUGUUCAUAGUUAAAUAAUUGAAGCUAUUCAAUUCAAACAACAACAACAAAAAAAACUUGUAAAAUUAAGAAAAAAAGACAACAAAAACAAUAAAAUAACUGAAUUAGAAAGUAGAAAUAUAGAAAGAUUUCUUUUUUUCUUCUUCAGCUUCCUAAUGAUUAUUAAAUUGAUAAAAAAAAACGAGAUAGAUAAAAGAAGGAAAGAAAUUUAGAUCAUCAUAGGCCUGUAUAAAAUAUUAAUGAUGUUACAUAAUUUAAAAUAAAAAUAUUCACAUUUAACUUGUUCAAAAACAAUUAAAUCUCUAUUCAGAAUAAAUGUGUAUAUAGACGAAAUGAGAAUAGGAAAAGUGAAGAAUGAGAAAAUUAGAAAGAAUUUAGAAUUAAUACAUAAAUAAUAUACAUUUAUAUGCUCUAUCUUUCUCCUACUCUGCAUCUCUUCUUCUUUUUCUAUAUCUCUCUUUUCUCUUUGCUAUCUUGUAUCUUCCAUUAAUGUUUUAUUUAUUUAUUAAAUAUACUAAUAUAUUUAUUAUUCUACUCUUAUAAGAAAACAGCUUUUACUUGAUUUAAAGUCUAUAGAAAUGCAUUCUUUCUAGAUUUAACCAUAUUUAGAAAGUUAUUUAACAUUCUGUAAAGAUUAGGGAACAAAAUACAUGUAUAUGUAAAUGAUUAACUAAUUUAUCAGAGUCAUAAAACUUGCGGAUAAAGGCAUUUAAAAUGAUCGAUAAGUGUAGGUUAUCUAUAAUAUCUUAUCAAAAAUAACACUUUUUAAUAUAUUUUAAUUGAAAUAUCGGUUAAUCGUCAUUAAGAUAAAGGAUUUAUUAACGUAUUAUAUAUGAUUUAGAAAGUAGUACUAACAGGAUUAUUUCUUUAUUACUUAUUACUUUUUAUCUUUGAAACUAUGCAAAAAAUAUUCAAUUUUAUUUUAACAUAAUUGUACAAAUUGUGCAAAAAUGACUUAAGAAUAAUAAUAAAUGUAUAUUUAUUUUUAUGUAAUUUGCUAUUUAUAUUCAAUACAAGAUUUUAAAU
This 3201-nucleotide unclassified non-coding RNA is filed under the name Dimorphilus gyrociliatus. Its description in RNAcentral is "g_PROTEIN_RECEP_F1_2 domain-containing protein". The record is from RNAcentral. Lineage: Eukaryota; Metazoa; Annelida; Polychaeta; Dinophilidae.